AUUUAUACUUUGCCACUUGCAGCAUGUUUUCUUUUGAAACAAUAAAGAUAUUGAUUAUCCACACUUGAAUUUUAUCAGUGGUAAUAUGUACUUUUGGUAUGCCAAGUCUGUAUUUGUUGUCAAAUCUUUAUGUGAUGAAGUGUGAUCAAGUAGUUCAGUUGUUGCAACAGUUAACAUUUUCUAAGGCUCUCUUUUCUAUAGGGUUAUUUAAUCUAGUUGUUCUUCCAUAAUUCAUCAAACUAACAAGUUAUAUGAUACACAGGAUUCAGUAACUAUUGUAGGAUAUCCACUUGGUGGAGAUACAAUCUCUGUGACAAAGGGUGUGGUAUCACGAAUUGAGGUUAGUAUGCUCAUGGAUCCUCUGAUCUGCUUGGUAUUCAGAUUGAUGCUGCAAUAAACCCUGGAAACAGUGGUGGUCCUGCCUUCAAUGAUCGUGGUGAGUGUAUUGGUGUGGCAUUCCAGGUUUUCAGAUCCGAAGACACUGAAAACAUUGGAUAUGUUAUUCCAACCACUGUGGUUUCUCAUUUUCUUGAUGAUUAUGAAAGAAAUGGGAAGUAUACUGGUAAGCUGACAUCGGAAAAAUUC
This is a long non-coding RNA of Zingiber officinale, 585 nucleotides long. RefSeq lists it as uncharacterized. The record is from RefSeq and is a predicted model, not a curated record. The transcript has 4 exons. NCBI's taxonomy places the organism in Eukaryota, Viridiplantae, Streptophyta, Magnoliopsida, Zingiberales, Zingiberaceae.